Molecule: long non-coding RNA, 601 nt
Organism: Zeugodacus cucurbitae (melon fly)
Lineage: Eukaryota; Metazoa; Arthropoda; Insecta; Diptera; Tephritidae
Exons: 3
Source: RefSeq, a predicted model, not a curated record
CGAAUUUUAAAAACGUAAAAUAAAAGUUUUCUAAAGCGAAAAUAUGGAAUUGAAGAGGGUAAUACAGUAAUUCUUCAUUGCAUUGUCAAUUCGAAGCACGCAAUAGAAGCUACGCCAACAAUGGUCAACAUCAAUUUAAUAUUUCAAACCUCAUACGGCGCGUUAAAGGUACGCAACCUAAUUGGUGUCACUUAUGGUAGCAGCGUAGAACUUUCGAAUCGAUGGAAUAUGUGCUGCAAGCAAAUCAAGAACUAUGGAUGCAAACGCUACUACAUCGAACACAAAUCAUGGAAAUACUACAGCAAGAGCAUGGAUGUUAAGACUUGAACGGUGCCGUGCUAGAUUUAGAAUUCCUGAAACAUAAGAAACCCUCCUCCCAGAUGAAUCCAGUACUAGUGAAAUUAAUGAAAGAACAGAUCUUAUAAAAACUCCUAAAGAAAUCUAAAUAGUCCUCACAUAAUGUGCGCAGCUUACACUUUUAGCAAAAAUUGUUCAACUAUUCAAUUCUUUAUACAUAUGUAUAUAGUGUAGUACGAUAAUAUAUGUAUAAAGUAAAUAUAAUAAUAAACACCGAAAUGGCAUGAUAUUUUCAAUAAAUAUG